Long non-coding RNA from Oxyura jamaicensis (ruddy duck), 204 nucleotides. RefSeq lists it as uncharacterized. The record is from RefSeq and is a predicted model, not a curated record. The transcript is spliced from 3 exons. Lineage: Eukaryota; Metazoa; Chordata; Aves; Anseriformes; Anatidae.
CUGCACAUGGCAGCGAGACGCCAGGAGUGGGAGCGGGGAUGUCUCAAGGGUCACUGUGGGGCUGGCGGCCACAAAACCUCGGGUUUGGGGACUGGGUGGAAGAAACAGGACAGCAGAAGUUCAGGCUAGCUUGCAAGACAGUGGCUUUCAACCUUUUUGUUUGUUUUGCAGAUUCUUCAAUAUUUGCCAACAAUGGUAUUUGGC